UGUGCAGUAUGCAACUCUCAA
Molecule: non-coding RNA, 21 nt
Filed under: Caenorhabditis elegans
Lineage: Eukaryota; Metazoa; Nematoda; Chromadorea; Rhabditida; Rhabditidae
Source: RNAcentral